Molecule: ribosomal RNA, 253 nt
Filed under: uncultured bacterium
Lineage: Bacteria
Description: partial 16S ribosomal RNA
Rfam family: Bacterial small subunit ribosomal RNA
Source: RNAcentral
UACGGAGGGUACAAGCGUUAAUCGGAAUUACUGGGCGUAAAGCGCGCGUAGGCGGCGUGAUCAGCCGGUUGUGAAAGCCCCGGGCUCAACCUGGGAACGGCAUCCGGAACUGUCACGCUAGAGUGCAGGAGAGGAAGGUAGAAUUCCCGGUGUAGCGGUGAAAUGCGUAGAGAUCGGGAGGAAUACCAGUGGCGAAGGCGGCCUUCUGGACUGACACUGACGCUGAGGUGCGAAAGCAUGGGUAGCAAACAGG